UCUUCUCCAUCUUGAUUUUGCGGGGAGUAAUUUAAGACACUGGCGAUAAAAAAGACUGCAUGCAUUGGAAUAUCUGUUCCAGCAGAAAUGGUGAGGGGGAGGUCCUUGAAAGCAAAUGAUCGAAUGAAAAAGGGUACUCAUAUUCCGCUGUUUUCUAUGCCAAAGAAUGAUACUCCAGCCUUCAUGGAUAACCUGUAAGGCUCAUUGAAGGCCAAGCACGGGAGAAUUGUAGGGUCUUGGAUUUCUUUUUUUUUUUUUUUAUAAGUACAAAUUUUAUUUAAAAAAAACAAGUAAAAUGAUAUAUAUAAACUAUUGUAUCCCUUUACGUGGUAAAUUUUGAUAAGAAAAA
This is a long non-coding RNA of Neltuma alba, 349 nucleotides long. RefSeq lists it as uncharacterized. The transcript is spliced from 4 exons. The record is from RefSeq and is a predicted model, not a curated record. Lineage: Eukaryota; Viridiplantae; Streptophyta; Magnoliopsida; Fabales; Fabaceae.